GAUGAAGAACGCAGCGAAAUGCGAUACGUAAUGCGAAUUGCAGAAUUCCAGUGAGUCAUCGAAUCUUUGAACGCACAUUGCGCCCUUUGGUAUUCCGAAGGGCAUGCCUGUUCGAGCGUCAUUAUCACCCCUCAAGCCCUCGGCUUGGUGUUGGACGGUUUGGUGGAGGCCCCCUCGGGGGUUCCUGCCCCUCCCAAAGACAAUGACGGCGGCCUCGUUGGACCCCCGGUACACUGAGUUCUUCACGGGACACGUAUCGGACACAUGGGUUUACGGGACACGGUCUGCCUCCCCUCAGGGAGAAUCUUUCUAAGGUUGACCUCGGAUCAGGUAGGGAUACCCGCUGAACUUAAGCAUAUCAAUAAGCGGAGGA
This 373-nucleotide unclassified non-coding RNA is filed under the name soil metagenome. RNAcentral describes it as "partial contains 5.8S ribosomal RNA, internal transcribed spacer 2, and large subunit ribosomal RNA". The stretch from base 1 to 121 matches the Rfam family "5.8S ribosomal RNA", at positions 35 to 154 of the family's 154-position model. The record is from RNAcentral.